Molecule: ribosomal RNA, 408 nt
Filed under: uncultured eukaryote
Lineage: Eukaryota
Description: partial 18S ribosomal RNA
Rfam family: Eukaryotic small subunit ribosomal RNA
Source: RNAcentral
CAAUAGCGUAUAUUAAUGUUGUUGCAGUUAAAAAGCUCGUAGUUGGAUUUCGAAUGGGAGCGGUGGGUCGGGUCCGCAAGGGCUCGUUACCUGUUUCGUCUCCGGUUCUUUUUCGGGAUUUGUUUCUGGCGUGGCUGGCAUUGAGUUGUCGGUGGCGUCGGGCCCGUCGUUUACUGUGAACAAAUUAGAGUGUUCAAAGCAAGGUGUGUCUUGAAUACAUUAGCAUGGAAUAAUGAGAUAGGACUUUGGUGGUUUCGGUGAAAGCCGGAUAUUUUGUUGGUUUGCACGCCAAAGUAAUGAUUAAUAGGAGCAGUUGGGGGUAUUCGUAUUCAAUUGUCAGAGGUGAAAUUCUUGGAUUUCUAGAAGACGAACUACUGCGAAAGCAUUUACCAGGGAUGUUUUCAUUAA